Molecule: long non-coding RNA, 1752 nt
Filed under: Gadus morhua (Atlantic cod)
Lineage: Eukaryota; Metazoa; Chordata; Actinopteri; Gadiformes; Gadidae
Description: lncRNA (ENSGMOG00000028224.1)
Source: RNAcentral
AAACCGUAACUGUGUUCACGUUGAAUUUUAUCGAAAAAUAUAAAUAAUAUUUUCUUUAGAGUGUGUUGGCCAGGGUCCUUUCCAAUGCAUGUGCACCUUCUGUCUUUUUUCCUAAUCAGCCCAGUGUGCAUAAAGUAUCAUAGUUCUUUACACACGUGCGGUGGUGAAGUGUGGUGGGUUUGAGUUUCAGAGCACUGUGAUGCCUCGCUGUGACUUCUGCAGACAAGGAAAGAAGAAAAAGCGCUGGAAAUAAAGUUGAUUUCCCCGCUCAGUGAAUGGAGUUAACCGAUUCUUCUUUUUGAUUUACUAUCAAAAAUGGAAAGCAGUAGCACAGGUAUGUUUGUAUUUUGAAAUAAGCCAUAAAUUGAGCUUUCAACUAAACUUCCCAUGAUUGGUUGAGGAGGUGCUUUCAGACUUUUCAGAGUCAGAUUGAUCCCCCUUUCCCAGGGACGAGUCUCACCAAAGACAUAGCAAGCAUGUCUUUGAUGGACAGGUAUGAAGAGGAGGACUGUUCUGAUUCAGACGGCAGUGCUGAGCUUGAUGAAGAGGAUGAAGAGGAUGAAGGUGAUGAAGGUGGGCAGUGUCACUCUUCCAUUGAGCUUUGAGUCUCAAUGACGAGUUCUAGAGGAUUGGAACUGCGAGAAAAGUUCUCUUCUGAAGAUGAACCAGGUGGCCAACGGCAGACCGAGAGGAGAGCAAAGCCAAGGCCAAAGACAAAAGAGCAGUCAGUCAGAGUUGCUUCGACGAAUCCGUUCUCAAUUUGUGCAGGGAGUUUCAAACCCAGUUAUCAAAGGUCUCCUGGAUGACCUUUAUCAGCAUGAAGUGGUCAGUACUGAGGAAAAGGAAUUUGUGAUGGAGAACCAGAAGAUCAAAACGGACAUGGCUGAUAGUAUGAAGUUUAGGGACAAGCACUUGUGCUCCGACCUUGGUCUGAUCUCUUCUUCUGCUGCGGUGGCUGAGAUGUAACUAUGAAUUUCCUUUGUAAAGUCACUGCCGACUUUGUUUUGACAAGACAUUACAUUAAAUCAGCUGACAUAUUGUUGAUAUGUUUAGAAUAGGUCCUCCUUUCGGUGCUAGUACAUGUGUAGACCUUUUGUAUGGUCUCGGAAAAAUCACGGAAAUGUUUAGUUUCCCAAGAGGAAGCUAAAGUUUUGUUUUUUUAUCUAUUAUUUUAAAUGUUCAGGCGGAUGCUAUACGCAGCCAGAUUUGCAGAUCGGCUGCGGUACAUGUUGGACAAAACUUGACAAGAUCCACAAAUGCAUACAAACGAGUUCACAUGUGGUAAUCUGAUGUGAAAGAGGGUGUGGACUUUAAGUUACAAAACACAAGUCAACUUUAUGGAUUUCUCCAUUGUGAUCUGUUCUGAAAGUUUGUUUAGAUAUCCUUUUUACAAAGGAAAAGUAAACAAUAUUUGUGAUUUUUGGUAACGAAACGUGAAUUGUCUUCUAUUGGUAACAAGUUACUCACUUCCUUUUACAUGCAUGGUGCCACCUGCAGGUGUAUGCUAUGACCGCAUCCAGAUUGGUACAUGGGACAAAAUUUGAUCUUGAUUGCAAAUCUAAAGUGAAAAAUUACUAUGGACACUGCCAUCAGUGUGUGUAAAAUUGGUUGCAAGUAGCUAUGAAUGAAAGCGUCCGCUAAAUGCAAAUGUUAUUUCCUCACUUCAGGGUAAGCUGCAGUAAUAAAUAAACCUGGCACUGCUUCACCCUCCCUUUAAUUUGAUUAUUUUGUUAGUUUAAAAAUACAAAUUGU